AGUGAACGCUGGCGGUAGGCCUAACACAUGCAAGUCGAACGGCAGCACAGUAAGAGCUUGCUCUUACGGGUGGCGAGUGGCGGACGGGUGAGGAAUACAUCGGAAUCUACUUUUUCGUGGGGGAUAACGUAGGGAAACUUACGCUAAUACCGCAUACGACCUACGGGUGAAAGCAGGGGAUCUUCGGACCUUGCGCGAUUGAAUGAGCCGAUGUCGGAUUAGCUAGUUGGCGGGGUAAAGGCCCACCAAGGUGACGAUCCGUAGCUGGUCUGAGAGGAUGAUCAGCCACACUGGAACUGAGACACGGUCCAGACUCCUACGGGAGGCAGCAGUGGGGAAUAUUGGACAAUGGGCGCAAGCCUGAUCCAUCCAUACCGCGUGGGUGAAGAAGGCCUUCGGGUUGUAAAGCCCUUUUGUUGGGAAAGAAAAGCAGCAGGUUAAUACCCCGCUGUUCUGACGGUACCCAAAGAAUAAGCACCGGCUAACUUCGUG
RNAcentral lists this ribosomal RNA (492 nucleotides) under uncultured bacterium. RNAcentral's name for it is "partial 16S ribosomal RNA". It matches the Rfam family "Bacterial small subunit ribosomal RNA", at positions 29 to 507 of the family's 1533-position model. The record is from RNAcentral.